This 4584-nucleotide long non-coding RNA is filed under the name Malus domestica (apple). RNAcentral's name for it is "long non-coding RNA (MDOM_LNC011615)". The record is from RNAcentral. Lineage: Eukaryota; Viridiplantae; Streptophyta; Magnoliopsida; Rosales; Rosaceae.
GUUUUAACGAUAAUAACAAAAUAAAGGGUAAAGUAAAUAGUACCAUAAUUGACUUUUUAGUGUUAAAAUGUGAUUUUCAUUAAAGUGAACAGUACUGUGAACUUUUCGUUAAAGUUCCCUUUGAUUAUAUGUAUGGAAAGUGACACAUCAAAAUUAGGGUUAUUUAUUAUUUUCUUCAUGCGGUCUGAUGGGUCUUUCAAACCUCAAUCAAGGCAUCCACAGUUGGUUUGACUGGUAUAAUUUGAACACUCUGAGAUAAAACCCUCGAGCAACAUAUUAACACGAGGAUACAUUUUGUUUCAUUGAAUUGAGCCUAUAUAAACAGUGGGAGUUUCUCAUGUUUAGUUUAGGGGAAAUUUACCAUAAAGGAAAAAAAAAUCGUUGCAAGGUUUGCGUAAGUUAAUGUGCUUAAAAAUAAAACGAAGAACAUUAUUUAAUAGCAUACUCGAAGAAGUAGUACAACGCGUGACAGCCAAGUUAGAACCGUGGCUAAAUCUUUUAAGAGCAAGCAAAAUAGACGCAGCUAUUUGCUUCUCCACCAAACACUGGAAACCCCAAACAGACUGCAGACACACCAACGAGAGAGAUCGAUAUUGCUCCUAAUUAAAACUAACCAGACAAAUGAUUUCUAAUUAAGGACUUAAAACCAGACCAUUAAACCAAACCCAACUGGACCCCACUGGAGCAAACUGGUCAUCUCUGAGAGUUCAUGGAACAACUGGAGCUGAGCCACCACCUGCACCUAAAGGAAUACCACCGCCGCCAAGAGGAACACCAGGGGUAUUGGUGGGCAGGAGUGGGACUGAGCCAAAACCUGUACCGCCUGUAGGGACACAGCCUCCAGGGAGAGAGCAGAAGCCUGACGGCCCAAACCCUAUCCCAGUAAAGCCUGGUGAGCCUGGGUAGAUACCGCCUACACCGCCGUAAACGUUCUGAGGCUGAGCAACAACCUCCCCCUUUUCGUUGCUCUUGAGCACCCUGCCUCCCUCAACCGGCAUUGCAGCCACCACCAGGAUGGUGGUCAGGAGCAGCGCCAGCUUACUCACUCUCUCCAUGAUCUUAAAAAGAGGAUUCUCAAGAGUAAAAAAGUAAAGAACAAGCUAGGGUUUAUAAGCUCUCUUUCAGCCUCACACGUCACUCACACUGGGAAGUGAAGCAACAUCAGUCUUCUUAUAGCGAAAAAGAUUUCCAUUUGAGGAUGAUCAUAAUUACACUUUUAUCUUGCCAUUUAUGGAGGGAUGGUUGCCUUGCUAAAUGCUGUUGUUACUGUUAUGGGGCUUAAUUAAGGGAAACAUACACCAAUAUAACGGGUAAUAAGCUUUUAAUCAAAAUUAGAACUGCUAGAGUACUCGUGGUCGUGGAUAAGACUUUUUAAAAAUCUCAAUUAGAAAUUGGUAUACUUACAAUACAGAUGGACACUAAAUAGACAAUAACUUGACACUAAAAAGAUACUAAAAUGUUUUUUACUGACUGUUUAGUGCCCUUUGCUCCUAGUAAAAAGUUCUAUUUUUGUCCGUUUAUUAGUAUCCUCAAUUUGAACAAAAGAAAGUUAGUAUCCUCAAUCUUUUCAUUUUAUUUUGUUAAAGUUUAUAACCACUUGUGUAUGCAGCAAAUUUCCCCCUUAAUUAAUUAAUUAGUUAAUCACAAAGAAAAAACUCAACUGAUAUGUAUAGAUUUGAGGUUAGUCCAGUCAUCUAGAGUAGUGAGUUUCUUUCUGUACUCGUAUGUAUUAUCCAAAUUAUCAGCGUAGCCUUUGGGUUCUUGACCAACCAUGCCUUUUUAUUUUUUUAUGAAAAUGCUCGGAGGUUGUUUUUUUUCGUUUUUGUUUUUUUUUUAACAAAUGAUGUUAUCUACACUAAAGGGGAUGGGGUGAGCUUAGCCUCACAAUAAGCUAGCAAUAAUGUGAUUCAAAUUUGCCUUUGGCGAGAAUCGAACUUAAGACCUCUCACUUACAAGUGAAGAGGAAUAUUACUAGACCGUAGUAUUAAGUGGCCGGAUGGUGGUUUUUAACCAUGCUAAAUGACACUAAUUAACCAGCAUAUUAACUUUUGGUAAAUGGAGUAGUUGAUUUUGGAACAGUAAUAAUUUGCAAUGGACGGAGAUGCUAAGGCCACCACCCAUCCCUCCAGUACAAACUGUAGUUACAGUGGAUCUAUAUGUUAUUGGUGUGGAAUUUAUGGUGGUCCAGUUGAGAUGGGUAAGAGCCUUAAAUCGCCGGACAUGCAUUUUCCUUGCACUUUAUUACCUUUCCAGUUUUAACUAAUGUUCUGAUUUAAUUCACAUAUCUACCACACUGCACCCCUGCUAAAUUCCUUGAUAUAUAACAGACUCUGACCAGAAAGUUUUAACUGGUUUAAUGGCUUGUUACAGAAAUUCAAAUUUCACCACCAUCAAACAUUCAUCUUAAUCUUUUUAUCAUGCAAUUUUAAACAUUCUGAUGGCAAAUUUUACACAUGAUCAUCCUGUUAAUCAAGUGAUCACUAUCUUCUUCUUCUUCUUCUUCUUCUUUUUUUUUCCUGAAUUAAUGCCUAGCAAUUGUUAGAUCAAACACAUUCUAUAUCUAUAUAUCAAUCCAUAUGUAUUCGCAGAUAAAAAUUAUCCAUCCAUCCGUCCAUUGAUUUCAGAUUAAAAUCAAAAUACAUUUAUCCAAGUUCAAAUUCAGAUACACAUUCAUUCCUUACCCUAAUACAAAUAUAACAAGUUAGCAUAUACAUCCAUUAAUAAGAGAUAUUCAUUUCGGUGUAAUGCUGGAAUUCGAUGCUUUCUAUCCCUUUCCCUUACUCGUACCGCUCUUAGCUGAGGUGAUCCACAAGAAAUAUAUUUAGGAGUCUUAAUUAGUAUAAUAAGAAGAGAGUUAACAAAGCCAUCCAAGUAGCAAGCUUGGAAAAAACAUUUUAAAAGACAUUAAACUUCCAAGUUUUUUUUCCAACUAUCACAUCCGGAUUGGUUUCAGAUUCCAUCUUCUUCUACAGCCUUAUACCCUCAAACUUAAUCAAUUGAUGCAUCCCUUUAGCAACCAGAGCAAGAACAAGUUUCGGACUCUAUGAGCGGUUCACGACAAUCUAAAGUUUUUCAAAUUCAGUUUCGUGUAGUUCCCACAUGAGAAUUAAUAUUCAACUUCAUGUUUUCUUAUAAGUUUCUGUUGUCAAAGAUGAGUUCUCAGCAUCCUCUCGUGCCAUUCAAAUUUAUACUUGGUAAUAUUGACACGCCCCGACCCCGAUAUUCCCCGAAUAUCAGGAUAGGCACGUGCUGGCUGACACCCGAUGUGACGAAAGCCAUUUAUUGAAUACAAGAGUAAAGAUUAGGAGAAAAUAUAAAUAUAAUUCUCAGAAUGUCUAAAGGAAAUAAACAGUGCUUAAGAAAGUGGCUAGAGUGCACAGAGCAUGUUCUAAUUCGAGAUUUCAAAAGGAAAGACUAUUACAGAUUUCACACAAAGAAAAUGGACGCAACUACUGGUAGGGGAAUGCCUCGUAUAUUGCGUCGUAGUCCUCGUCCCUAAGACCUGAAUGGGGGCGCAAAACAAGGGUGAGUGGACCAAGUUUAUAUACAUACAUAAUACGAAAACAAUUAUAAACAUACUAACCCCCACAGUUAAGAUAAUGAAAACUACUAAAUAAUAAGUGAUAGGUUUCUCAAAACCUCUAGCAUGCCAUAAAAAUAAUUCAUAUAUCUCUCUGCAAAUCAAUCUCAGAAAAUCAUAUCAGAAAUCAUAUCAGGAAGCAUAACACAAGUUGUGCUGCUAGUGAGUGCACUGAAUAACAAUACUUCCGGCCCAAUGCCUGCACCUCAGUCUCUGUGCCGGUAGCCAGAGAUAUCUCCCUCCCAACCCAAUGCUUGUCUCCGUGUCCCUCAGCCUUUCGCUAGGGAUUAUUUCUCCCGGCCUCAAUGCCAACACCAGAUCCUCGCCCCAGGCGGCAUAGUGUUCACUAGGUACGCACAAAACAUAAUUCAUCUCUAAAAUACAACUUCGUAGCAUAAAUUCAUCGAUCCUCUAUACUACGAAGAGGUGUUCAAAAAUCAUUUGAAACAACAUUCUUAGCAUCCUAUCGUCAUCGAUCAGAUAGUUUACCAGAAUGAGGGUUCUAAAGAAAAAUACAAUAUAGUGCAAAUAGUAUAUAUAUAUAUAUAUAUAAUCAAACAUCAUUAAAUCAUCAUGCUUUCUGUAAAGUAUUCCUCAAAUCAAAAAUUAUGCAAGACAUGCUAUUAAAUUAUGCAAUUUUAUCAAUAAAACAUGCAAUUUUUUAAGGUGGUCCACUCACAGAUACUCCGAAGCAGCAGAAUUGUGCGGAAAAUGAUUAAGGAAGUCUCCACUAGCAACUUCACCUAAGCACGAAACUAUACAACUUAAUCAAACUACCCAAUAUAAUUCUAGGAAAUGGAAAUGGGCCUUGGGUUUGGAUAGGUUAGGAUCAAGAGGUGGUUUGGGCUUGAGCCCAAACCCAUACUUGUACACAUUACACACCUACACACACACAGCAUGCAUAAGCAUGCACUUCACACACACACAGAGCAUGCACCGUACCCCACACACACACAUACAUGCACACGGCAUACACUCACACAGCACACGCACACCCACAACAC